AUUUUUAACGGCCGCGGUACCCUGACCGUGCAAAGGUAGCAUAAUCAUUUGCCUUUUAAUUGAAGGCUGGUAUGAAUGGUUUGACGAAAACAAAGCUGUCUCUUAUUUGCUAUUUAAAAAUUAAUUUCGAUGUGAAGAAGCAUUGAUAAUUCUAAAAGACAAGAAGACCCUGUUGAGCUUUAAUAAACAUAGAAAGUAAAAGCAUGAAUCAAAGAACUAUUUUUCUAUUAAUAUUUUAGUUGGGGCGACUGAGGAACAAAAAAGCUUCCUUUUCACAAAAAAAUUAACCUAUAAUGAUCCAACACCUGUUGAUUAAAGAAAUUAGUUACCACAGGGAUAACAGCGUAAUCUUUUUUGAGAGUUCUUAUUAAAAAAAAGGCUUGCGACCUUCGAUGUUGGAUUAAGAUUCCCGGUU
Molecule: ribosomal RNA, 415 nt
Filed under: Gigantopelta aegis
Lineage: Eukaryota; Metazoa; Mollusca; Gastropoda; Neomphalida; Peltospiridae
Description: partial 16S ribosomal RNA
Rfam family: Bacterial large subunit ribosomal RNA
Source: RNAcentral